Molecule: ribosomal RNA, 496 nt
Filed under: uncultured bacterium
Lineage: Bacteria
Description: partial 16S ribosomal RNA
Rfam family: Bacterial small subunit ribosomal RNA
Source: RNAcentral
GAUGAACGCUGGCGGCGUGCCUAAUACAUGCAAGUCGAGCGAACAGACGAGGAGCUUGCUCCUCUGACGUUAGCGGCGGACGGGUGAGUAACACGUGGAUAACCUACCUAUAAGACUGGGAUAACUUCGGGAAACCGGAGCUAAUACCGGAUAAUAUAUUGAACCGCAUGGUUCAAUAGUGAAAGACGGUUUUGCUGUCACUUAUAGAUGGAUCCGCGCCGCAUUAGCUAGUUGGUAAGGUAACGGCUUACCAAGGCAACGAUGCGUAGCCGACCUGAGAGGGUGAUCGGCCACACUGGAACUGAGACACGGUCCAGACUCCUACGGGAGGCAGCAGUAGGAAAUCUUCCGCAAUGGGCGAAAGCUUGACGGAGCAACGCCGCGUGAGUGAUGAAGGUCUUCGGAUCGUAAAACUCUGUUAUUAGAGAAGAACAAAUGUGUAAGUAACUAUGCACGUCUUGACGGUACCUAAGCAGAAAGCCACGGCUAACUACGU